UACAGAGGUCCCAAGCGUUGUUCGGAUUCACUGGGCGUAAAGGGUGCGUAGGUGGUUGGGUAAGUCUGAUGUGAAAUCUCUGAGCUCAACUCAGAAACUGCAUUGGAUACUAUCCGGCUAGAGAAUCGGAGGGGGGACUGGAAUACUUGGUGUAGCAGUGAAAUGCGUAGAUAUCAAGUGGAACACCAGUGGCGAAGGCGAGUCCCUGGACGAUUUCUGACACUGAGGCACGAAAGCUAGGGGAGCAAACAGG
This 253-nucleotide ribosomal RNA is filed under the name uncultured bacterium. RNAcentral's name for it is "partial 16S ribosomal RNA". It matches the Rfam family "Bacterial small subunit ribosomal RNA", at positions 524 to 776 of the family's 1533-position model. The record is from RNAcentral.